RNAcentral lists this unclassified non-coding RNA (154 nucleotides) under sea anemone metagenome. RNAcentral describes it as "partial contains small subunit ribosomal RNA and internal transcribed spacer 1". It matches the Rfam family "Eukaryotic small subunit ribosomal RNA", at positions 1678 to 1825 of the family's 1831-position model. The record is from RNAcentral.
GCUACUACCGAUUGAAUGGUUUAGUGAGGACUCCUGAUUGGCGCCGCCGCCCCGGCAACGGAGCAGCGGACUGCCGAAAAGUUGUCCAAACUUGAUCAUUUAGAGGAAGUAAAAGUCGUAACAAGGUUUCCGUAGGUGAACCUGCAGAAGGACA